RNAcentral lists this long non-coding RNA (425 nucleotides) under Nicotiana benthamiana. RNAcentral describes it as "long non-coding RNA (NBEN_LNC007246)". Lineage: Eukaryota; Viridiplantae; Streptophyta; Magnoliopsida; Solanales; Solanaceae. The record is from RNAcentral.
GUAUGUUUCUUUUUCUUUUACCAGUGGGUUGCAUAGUCAGCAGGCUCAAAUAUCUUAAAAAACAUUGCAGCACUAUUGCAUGUGAACAUGGUAUUCCUUUAAGCUGUCAUGAUCUACACGUGCAUGUAUUGUGGGAGAAGUCAACAAUAUGUUUGUAAACCCCAUGUUGUAUCUCAUACCCAGUGUCCCCAUUCCAUUUAAACUCAUGCUUAAUAGCAUAUUGAGAUUGUUCCUUUAUGUACCUCAUUGCCAUAGGAGAUACAUCAGAAAUCCACCUCAUUGCAAAUUCUCUCAUGGUAGUCAUCCUCUCUAUCACCUUCAGUCUAAUAUCUUCUAACAUUGUUAUGGUAGAUUUGUGCCUAGCAAAAACGAUCCAAUCGUUAAAGGUCUCACAUAUGUUGUUCUCCACCAGAAUUACAUUUACU